Myzus persicae (green peach aphid) is the source of this 1226-nucleotide long non-coding RNA. RefSeq lists it as uncharacterized. NCBI's taxonomy places the organism in Eukaryota, Metazoa, Arthropoda, Insecta, Hemiptera, Aphididae. The transcript is spliced from 2 exons. The record is from RefSeq and is a predicted model, not a curated record.
GGUACUCCGCGCACGUUAAGAGUAUGCGGUUUAGACUGCAAACUGGUCAUGCCCUUAACGCGCGCGGAGUAUACAAGCAGGUGUCUGCAAUCAGUUUCAAGAUUCACCGGUGAAGUGUCUGCACCGGACCAACCUCGCGCAAACAAAAACAAAAUCAUGAACACACGACCAAAAUUAUUUUUGACGAGUAUCGUCGAGUUCGUUGUGCGAAUGUUGGAGUACUGAUGUGAAUCAACAAGUUCAAUUUUCUCCACCUCGUAACAGUUAUAUUUACUGCUAUGGGCCGUUGCUGCACAAGAUUCAAAUGCCUAAAAUAUUCAACGAUUCUAAAAUAUUUGUGGACAUGAAAAUUAAGCUCUUACAAUCUAGUUUAGUAUCUAUAUCUGUGUUCUAACCUGUGUUGACCUUAUUCUAAUAAACGGAGCAAGGAUGGAUUUCAAGUGGUCUAGCGCUGCUUGACUAUACCCGUUGUACUACGAACAGGCGCAGUAAUUGAUAACUGUAUAAAACUGUAUAUAAUAUGUAUACAUAUGCUUCGUCUACUAGUAUAAGGUCUAUGGUUCCAACUUCAAAUUAAAAUUGAUAAUGAGGUGAUACCGUAUCCUGUAUAUCUUAAUUCGUGGUAGGGACAAAGUAGAAAAAUUGUCUACUAAAAAAGUAACGUAGCUGCAAAUGUAUGUAAUAUCAAUGUUUUAUAGUAUAAUUUUCAGCUGUUACGUUUUACGCAACAAUUGACAACAGCGCUAUAUGUUUUAUAUUGACCGUCGGAUUCUUGAGCAUUAGUGCAUCGACUGUUACGCUCCCGUAAAUAUAUCGAUUGUAUUAUAACCAAAAUAAAUCCAUUUAUUUUGCAUCCAGGGUUCUGAAAUACAUAAAUAAAUCUAAAAUAUUGAACAAUAAGGGGGGGGGGGAACAACCACCUGGGAGUUUGACACCGAUCAACACUGGAACCAACCAAACGUGGGCCCCUCUCUAGUACACCUGACAACUCGGGGGACAAAGCAUAGGCGAAUCUAGGAAUUCAUAGCAGGGUGUGCCUUUACCUCAAAAAGGCCCUCUGUAGUUCAAAAUACCUCUCAGUUAUCACACGUUUAAAAUAUGUUUCCCAUUUGAAAUCACAAUAUUAAUAAUAUUAAAUAAUAUUAAGAUGAAUUUUUAUUACCUAGUUUAGAUGCUAUUUUUCGUGCUGUAAAAUAUACAUGUUAUGUUUCAAAAUUAUUCAAUUU